CCUCUGAACACCCACCCAGGUGAUUUCAGUUAUUCUGGCUAAUUAGACCUCUGCUCAGGUUGAGGGUGGGCCAGAGCUUAGAUGGGAAUUUAUUACGUUACAAAUUUCAUGUACCAAUAAGAUUGAUAAAGCUGUCAUUUGUCCUGCCCUAACAGGUGCAACAAAGCUAACAGGAAGCUCAGGAAGAUGUCCAUAUUUCUAU
Long non-coding RNA from Sander lucioperca (pikeperch), 202 nucleotides. RefSeq lists it as uncharacterized. The record is from RefSeq and is a predicted model, not a curated record. The transcript has 3 exons. Lineage: Eukaryota; Metazoa; Chordata; Actinopteri; Perciformes; Percidae.